GUCCGGAAUUAUUGGGCGUAAAGCGCGCGCAGGCGGUCCUUUAAGUCUGAUGUGAAAGCCCACGGCUCAACCGUGGAGGGUCAUUGGAAACUGGGGGACUUGAGUGCAGAAGAGGAGAGUGGAAUUCCACGUGUAGCGGUGAAAUGCGUAGAGAUGUGGAGGAACACCAGUGGCGAAGGCGACUCUCUGGUCUGUAACUGACGCUGAGGCGCGAAAGCGUGGGGAGCGAACAGGAUUAGAUACCCUGGUAGUCCACGCCGUAAACGAUGAGUGCUAAGUGUUAGAGGGUUUCCGCCCUUUAGUGCUGCAGCAAACGCAUUAAGCACUCCGCCUGGGGAGUACGGCCGCAAGGCUGAAACUCAAAGGAAUUGACGGGGGCCCGCACAAGCGGUGGAGCAUGUGGUUUAAUUCGAAGCAACGCGAAGAACCUUACCAGGUCUUGACAUCCUCUGACACCUCUGGAGACAGAGCGUUCCCCUUCGGGGGACAGAGUGACAGGUGGUGCAUGGUUGUCGUCAGCUCGUGUCGUGAGAUGUUGGGUUAAGUCCCGCAACGAGCGCAACCCUUGUCCUUAGUUGCCAGCAUUCAGUUGGGCACUCUAAGGAGACUGCCGGUGACAAACCGGAGGAA
RNAcentral lists this ribosomal RNA (630 nucleotides) under uncultured bacterium. RNAcentral's name for it is "bacterial SSU rRNA". It matches the Rfam family "Bacterial small subunit ribosomal RNA", at positions 543 to 1171 of the family's 1533-position model. The record is from RNAcentral.